CACGUAGGCACCAAGCGUUGUCCGGAUUUAUUGGGCGUAAAGAGCUCGUAGGCGGUUCAGUAAGUCGGGUGUGAAAACUCUGGGCUCAACCCAGAGACGCCACCCGAUACUGCUGUGACUUGAGUACGGUAGGGGAGUGGGGAAUUCCUGGUGUAGCGGUGAAAUGCGCAGAUAUCAGGAGGAACACCAGUGGCGAAGGCGCCACUCUGGGCCGUAACUGACGCUGAGGAGCGAAAGCGUGGGUAGCGAACAGG
RNAcentral lists this ribosomal RNA (254 nucleotides) under uncultured bacterium. Its description in RNAcentral is "partial 16S ribosomal RNA". It matches the Rfam family "Bacterial small subunit ribosomal RNA", at positions 524 to 776 of the family's 1533-position model. The record is from RNAcentral.